AUAUUCACUCACAUGCUGAACUGGUACGUAAUAGCCCAGUACCAUCUUAGGUCUUUGGUUUAGAAAACUAAAUCGUUUUUACCAGAGUCGGAAUUAUUGUGUGAUGUGAUUCCUGGAGUCCACUUUUCCACUUCUGUAUUUGUAUUUGUAGGGUGUUAGAACACCAACCUUACAGCUCUCUGCGAUGCAAGAAGGAGACUACACUUACCAGCUCACAGUGACUGACACAAUAGGACAGCAGGCCACUGCUCAAGUGACUGUUAUUGUGCAACCUGAAAACAAUAAGCCUCCUCAGGCAGAUGCAGGCCCAGAUAAAGAGCUGACCCUUCCUGUGGAUAGCACAACCCUGGAUGGCAGCAAGAGCUCAGAUGAUCAGAAAAUUAUCUCAUAUCUCUGGGAAAAAACACAGUGA
Molecule: long non-coding RNA, 412 nt
Filed under: Homo sapiens (human)
Lineage: Eukaryota; Metazoa; Chordata; Mammalia; Primates; Hominidae
Description: non-protein coding lnc-PSMB2-4:1
Source: RNAcentral